This 383-nucleotide transfer-messenger RNA is filed under the name Candidatus Jacksonbacteria bacterium. It matches the Rfam family "transfer-messenger RNA". Rfam says of the family: Bacterial tmRNA, also known as 10Sa RNA or SsrA, is named for its dual tRNA and mRNA-like properties. Its role is to liberate the mRNA from a stalled ribosome. To accomplish this part of the tmRNA is used as a reading frame that ends in a translation stop signal. The record is from RNAcentral. Lineage: Bacteria; Candidatus Jacksoniibacteriota.
GGGGAUGCUUAUAUUCGAUAAACAGAUUUUUGACAUUAGUAGGCCAUUCGAGGUGGAUUUCUCGUUAAAUAUCCAAAAAGAUAAGCGCAAAAAACCUUAUCACGCGAGUACGAUCUGCUUUUGCAGGUUUAGCAUUCGCACCAGCUUUAGCUUAAUUUAAGCUUAGCCGCUCGUCUUGCGAUGUCUCAUAGCAAAUCACGAGUGCCAAUCAUGGGGCUUGGGUAUUCAUUUUUCUUGAGUGAAUAUUGACCUUUUAUCAAGAAUCGUAUGAAUGUAUUUUGCCACUUUUAAGCAUUCGUAUUAAACUUCAAAACUGGUCUAUAAUGGUAGUCCUCUAAUGAAAAGCUGCUUACACGCGGGUGAGAUCCCCGCCAUCUCCAGGA